GACGAACGCUGGCGGCGUGCUUAACACAUGCAAGUCGAACGCGCCUGUCCUCUGGGUUUCUGGGGGGUGGGUGAGUGGCGAACGGGUGAGUAACACGUGAGUAACCUGCCCCCUUCUUCGGGAUAACGGUCUGAAAGGGCUGCUAAUACCGGGUAUUCACUGGUCUCCGCAUGGGGUCUGGGGGAAAGGUUUUUUUCUGGUGGGGGAUGGGCUCGCGGCCUAUCAGCUUGUUGGUGGGGUGAUGGCCCACCAAGGCUUUGACGGGUAGCCGGCCUGAGAGGGUGACCGGUCACAUUGGGACUGAGAUACGGCCCAGACUACUACGGGAGGCAGCAGUGGGGAAUAUUGCACAAUGGGCGCAAGCCUGAUGCAGCGACGCCGCGUGAGGGAUGGAGGCCUUCGGGUUGUGAACCUCUUUCGCCCGUGGUCAAGCCGCGACGUGGGUCGUGGUGAGGGUAGUGGGUAAAGAAGCGCCGGCUAACUACGUG
This 488-nucleotide ribosomal RNA is filed under the name uncultured bacterium. RNAcentral describes it as "partial 16S ribosomal RNA". It matches the Rfam family "Bacterial small subunit ribosomal RNA", at positions 28 to 507 of the family's 1533-position model. The record is from RNAcentral.